Molecule: ribosomal RNA, 492 nt
Filed under: uncultured bacterium
Lineage: Bacteria
Description: partial 16S ribosomal RNA
Rfam family: Bacterial small subunit ribosomal RNA
Source: RNAcentral
AGUGAACGCUGGCGGUAGGCCUAACACAUGCAAGUCGAACGGCAGCACAGUAAGAGCUUGCCCUUACGGGUGGCGAGUGGCGGACGGGUGAGGCAUACAUCGGAAUCUAAUUUUUCGUGGGGGAUAACGUAGGGAAACUUACGCUAAUACCGCAUACGACCUACGGGUGAAAGCAGGGGAUCUUCGGACCUUGCGCGAUUGAAUGAGCCGAUGUCGGAUUAGCUAGUUGGCGGGGUAAAGGCCCACCAAGGCGACGAUCCGUAGCUGGUCUGAGAGGAUGAUCAGCCACACUGGAACUGAGACACGGUCCAGACUCCUACGGGAGGCAGCAGUAGGGAAUAUUGGACAAUGGGCGAAAGCCUGAUCCAGCCAUACCGCGUGGGUGAAGAAGGCCUUCGGGUUGUAAAGCCCUGUUGUUGGGGAAGAAAAGCAGCAGGUUAAUACCCCGCUGUUCUGACGGUACCCAAAGAAUAAGCACCGGCUAACUUCGUG